RNAcentral lists this ribosomal RNA (424 nucleotides) under uncultured bacterium. Its description in RNAcentral is "partial 16S ribosomal RNA". It matches the Rfam family "Bacterial small subunit ribosomal RNA", at positions 360 to 776 of the family's 1533-position model. The record is from RNAcentral.
AAUCUUGGACAAUGGGGGAAACCCUGAUCCAGCCAUCCCGCGUGUGCGAUGAAGGCCNNNGGGUUNUAUAGCACUCUUGUCAGNGAANAAAAGGUUCUGGCUAAUACCCGGAACUGAUGACGGUACCUGAAGAACAAGAACCGCCUAAUUACGUGCCAGCAGCCGCGGUAAUACGUAGGGUGCAAGCGUUAAUCGGAAUUACUGGGCGUAAAGCGUGCGCAGGCGGUUCGGAAAGAAGGAUGUGAAAUCCCAGGGCUCAACCUUGGAACUGCAUUCUUAACUACCGAACUAGAGUAUGUCAGAGGGGGGUAGAAUUCCGCGUGUAGCAGUGAAAUGCGUAGAUAUGCGGAGGAAUACCGAUGGCGAAGGCAGCCCCCUGGGAUAAUACUGACGCUCAUGCACGAAAGCGUGGGUAGCAAACAGG